This is an RNA transcript of Mustela erminea (ermine), 1709 nucleotides long. RefSeq lists it as uncharacterized. NCBI's taxonomy places the organism in Eukaryota, Metazoa, Chordata, Mammalia, Carnivora, Mustelidae. The record is from RefSeq and is a predicted model, not a curated record. The transcript has 2 exons.
GGCCGGCGAGGGGGGCGGUGGCCGGCCGGCGGGGUCGCCGGCGUCGUCUUCCCGGGCCGGAGGCGGGGCGUGCCCGCGGCGGCUCCUCCCCCUGGGCUCCGCGCCGGCUCUGGAAGCCCGAGUGCGGGUGGGAGCAAGCAAACGAGUGUGUUCUCCUUCCUCCUCCCUCUCUCCCGUCGUCCGCACUGGGCUGGGGCGGCGGCGCCUGAGCGGUUCCCUCGCGAGCCGGUGUGGACCCAGCGGCUGGGAGAGGAGGAGGAGCGCCCGGGCCGGGCGGAGACGCUUGCGGGCUCCGCGCAGACUGAACUGUGCUCGUGUAAGGUUGGCAAACUCGCGGCGAACGUCACGGUUGCUGUUGAAAUCCGGAGGGCGGGCAGAACCAUGUCACAUGGAUCGGGAGGCUUCGCCUGCUGAUAUCAGAAGGGCUGGGGAUGACAGAAGGACUUCGGCUAAACUGUCCUUUCCCGACUUCCAGCCUCCGAGGAGCCUUGGGCUUCGGACAGUCAGCCACACGAGGAGAUGACUGCCUGGGGCCGAAGGAAGACUCCCACGCACCCCCCACCCCGUCCCCUUCUCAAACCCGUCCCCCUUUCUCCUCCCACGCCUCCGCCUCUGACCCCAAGGUCUCCACGUCCAACGCCCCAUGGCCAGGAGGAAGGCCCUUCUGUGGAUUCACCGUAGCUUCUGCUCCCACCUGGGAAGGCUCCGGCAAGGGCUGCAGCACAGCUCACCUCCCUGCACGUCCUGCCCGUGAACUCAACGGAGGGACCGGAAGGGCUGACGUCCCCUAGCGGCCGGAGGACCCAAUCGCGCGGAGUGGCCCUGGUUCCCUCCAGCUCCACGUCUUCGGGACUGGCCGGUGUAGGCCCGACGCGAAGCCGGCAGAGCAGAGAGACGGCGGGAGAGAAGGAGUAUUUCGCCCAAGUCUUUCCGAACCGCGACAGUGAUGAAGACUGGUUACCGGGUAUUGAGCUGCGUGCUGUCGAACCCAUCACUUUAGACAUCGUUUCUCUUAAUCUUCAGAACAUUCUUCAGUUAAAUGCCAUUUUGUAGAUGAUGUUAUAAACUGGGACUCAGAAGCUGAGCCAUUUCCCAAGGUUUCAUGCCAGAAUGUGGCGGAGGCCUGAUUCCAACCCUGCUUGGCCACCCAAAACUGCCUUUCCAACCACUGUACCAGCUAGAGAAUGGGGAAGACUUCCAAUUCCAGGAGCGAAAGGAUUUAAAGUAACAUUUACCACUAGUUUCCUCACUAUAAAAGCCACAGGUGUUCGCUAUUAAAAAUCUGAGUAAUAAAAAACCUUGAUUAAUGUUAAGAAUUUGAACUUAGCCAUCAUUCCACUCCCUACAGGUAGUAGCUACUAUACAUUCCAUUUCCAGUAUUUUUCUGUGAUUGAACGCGUGUGAGCACGCAUGUAUGUAUGUGUGUAUAUUUGUGCAGAGUAUAUAUGUAUUAUAAACUAGUUUGGGGGGUGCUACAUUUUUAUCUUAAGACUAUACUGUAGAUUUCCCAAUUUGGGGGUUGUUCAUUGCUAGUAUAUAGAAAUAUAAUUCAUUUUUGUAUGUUGAUCUUGUAUUCCACACUUUGCAGAUUUACUCAUUUUAGUAGUGUAUGUGCAUGUGUGUCUGUGUGUGUGUGCGCCCACGUGCUUUAAGAUUUUCUGUACAGAAUCAUAAGUCUGUGAAUAAAGACAAGUUUCGUGUUUUCCUUU